RNAcentral lists this ribosomal RNA (755 nucleotides) under Aplanochytrium stocchinoi. Its description in RNAcentral is "partial Bacterial small subunit ribosomal RNA". It matches the Rfam family "Bacterial small subunit ribosomal RNA", at positions 11 to 760 of the family's 1533-position model. The record is from RNAcentral. Lineage: Eukaryota; Bigyra; Thraustochytrida; Thraustochytriidae.
GUUUGAUCAUGGCUCAGAUUGAACGCUGGCGGCAGGCUUAACACAUGCAAGUCGAGCGGGGAAGGGUAGCUUGCUACCUGACCUAGCGGCGGACGGGUGAGUAAUGCUUAGGAAUCUGCCUAUUAGUGGGGGACAACAUUCCGAAAGGAAUGCUAAUACCGCAUACGCCCUACGGGGGAAAGCAGGGGAUCUUCGGACCUUGCGCUAAUAGAUGAGCCUAAGUCAGAUUAGCUAGUUGGUGGGGUAAAGGCCUACCAAGGCGACGAUCUGUAGCUGGUCUGAGAGGACGACCAGCCACACUGGGACUGAGACACGGCCCAGACUCCUACGGGAGGCAGCAGUGGGGAAUAUUGGACAAUGGGCGAAAGCCUGAUCCAGCCAUGCCGCGUGUGUGAAGAAGGCCUUUUGGUUGUAAAGCACUUUAAGCGAGGAGGAGGCUACUUGGAUUAAUACUCUAGGAUAGUGGACGUUACUCGCAGAAUAAGCACCGGCUAACUCUGUGCCAGCAGCCGCGGUAAUACAGAGGGUGCUAGCGUUAAUCGGAUUUACUGGGCGUAAAGCGUGCGUAGGCGGUUUGAUAAGUCGGUUGUGAAAGCCCCGGGCUCAACCUGGGAACUGCAUCCAAAACUGGCAAGCUAGAGUACGGUAGAGGGUGGUGGAAUUUCCUGUGUAGCGGUGAAAUGCGUAGAUAUAGGAAGGAACACCAGUGGCGAAGGCGACCACCUGGACUGAUACUGACACUGAUGUGCGAAAGC